Molecule: ribosomal RNA, 487 nt
Filed under: uncultured Eubacteriales bacterium
Lineage: Bacteria; Bacillati; Bacillota; Clostridia; Eubacteriales
Description: bacterial SSU rRNA
Rfam family: Bacterial small subunit ribosomal RNA
Source: RNAcentral
UCCUGGCUCAGGAUAAACGACUGGCGGCGCACAUAAGACAUGCAAGUCGAACGGACUUAACUCAUUCUUUUAGUAUUGAGAGCGGUUAGUGGCGGACUGGUGAGUAACACGUAAGCAACCUGCCUAUCAGAGGGGAAUAACAGUGAGAAAUCAUUGCUAAUACCGCAUAUGCUCACAGUAUCACAUGAUACAGUGAGGAAAGGAGCAAUCCGCUGAUAGAUGGGCUUGCGUCUGAUUAGUUAGUUGGUGGGGUAACGGGCCUACCAAGACUACGAUCAGUAGCCGGACUGAGAGGUUGAACGGCCACAUUGGGACUGAGAUACGGCCCAGACUCCUACGGGAGGGCAGCAGUCGGGAAUAUUGCGCAAUGGAGGAAACUCUGACGCAGUGACGCCGCGUAUGGGAAGAAGGUUUUCGGAUUGUAAACUAUUGUCAUUAGGGAAGAUAAAAGACUGUACCUAAGGAGGAAGCCCCGGCUAACUAUGUG